This is a long non-coding RNA of Homarus americanus (American lobster), 567 nucleotides long. RefSeq lists it as uncharacterized. The transcript is spliced from 3 exons. The record is from RefSeq and is a predicted model, not a curated record. NCBI's taxonomy places the organism in Eukaryota, Metazoa, Arthropoda, Malacostraca, Decapoda, Nephropidae.
GGGACAAAUAAUAUGUACCAUCAAACAUGUCUCGAGAAAUAACACCAUUUACAGACCACACAGACGUCGUUAGUUAUCCCAGAUGAUAAAUAUUACCAGAGUACAGAUUGAUGUGACGGAUGAGCCAGACUCUAUUAAAUGCUAUUGUAUUUUUAUUUAGAUCGUAAUAGAUGAUUAUUCAAAAGGCGAUCUAUAUUAUAAACGUAAAAAACGGAUGUGAGCGCCAUCUAUGAGUUAACAGCGUUACUAAACAACCAUCAUGGAGGUUCAGUGUAGAGUUUCUCGUCCUUUAAGUCAGGAAGUCCGUCACCAGGUGGAGCCACGAGGAUGGACGCCGCUCACCUACACAACUGAACAUCCCUGGAAAUAUUCCCUCUGAGGCAUCGAAGGAGAUUUUACAACAAAACUUAACAGAUGAAAAUGAUAACUGGAGCUUAGAACAAGAUCUCCCACCAACCUCACCACCUAUGGCAAGGUAGGAGAAGCUCUCAUGGCCUAUACAGGAAAUCUUUGUUCUCGUCAAACUCUUAAGACAAAUACUGUGAUGUCACAUCUCAAGACCAAGUG